This 492-nucleotide ribosomal RNA is filed under the name uncultured bacterium. RNAcentral's name for it is "partial 16S ribosomal RNA". It matches the Rfam family "Bacterial small subunit ribosomal RNA", at positions 29 to 507 of the family's 1533-position model. The record is from RNAcentral.
AGUGAACGCUGGCGGUAGGCCUAACACAUGCAAGUCGAACGGCAGCACAGUAAGAGCUUGCUCUUACGGGUGGCGAGUGGCGGACGGGUGAGGAAUACAUCGGAAUCUACUUUUUCGUGGGGGAUAACGUAGGGAAACUUACGCUAAUACCGCAUACGACCUACGGGUGAAAGCAGGGGAUCUUCGGACCUUGCGCGAUUGAAUGAGCCGAUGUCGGAUUAGCUAGUUGGCGGGGUAAAGGCCCACCAAGGCGACGAUCCGUAGCUGGUCUGAGAGGAUGAUCAGCCACACUGGAGCUGAGACACGGUCCAGACUCCUACGGGAGGCAGCAGUGGGGAAUAUUGGACAAUGGGCGCAAGCCUGACCCAGCCAUACCGCGUGGGUGAAGAAGGCCUUCGGGUUGUAAAGCCCUUUUGUUGGGAAAGAAAAGCAGCAGGUUAAUACCCCGCUGUUCUGACGGUACCCAAAGAAUAAGCACCGGCUAACUUCGUG